This 499-nucleotide ribosomal RNA is filed under the name uncultured bacterium. RNAcentral's name for it is "bacterial SSU rRNA". It matches the Rfam family "Bacterial small subunit ribosomal RNA", at positions 26 to 518 of the family's 1533-position model. The record is from RNAcentral.
AGGACGAACGCUGGCGGCGUGCUUAACACGAUGCAAGUCGAACGGGGAUAGUUGGAUAGAGAGCUUCGGCAGGAAAUUGAGUAAUUCGAGUGGCGGACGGGUGAGUAACGCGUGAGCAACCUGUCCCAGACAGGGGGAUAACACUUGGAAACAGGUGCUAAUACCGCAUAAGACCACGGGAUCACAUGGUUCUGGGGUAAAAGGAGCAAUCCGGUUUGGGGUGGGCUCGCGUCCGAUUAGCCAGUUGCGGGGUAACGGCCCACCAAAGCGACGAUCGGUAGCCGACCUGAGAGGGUGAACGGCCACAUUGGAACUGAGAGACGGUCCAAACUCCUACGGGAGGCAGCAGUGGGGAAUAUUGGGCAAUGGGCGAAAGCCCUGACCCAGCAACGCCGCGUGAGUGAAGAAGGCCUUCGGGUUGUAAAGCUCUGUUAUAGUUGACGAAGGAAGUGACGGUAGGCUAUAAGGAAGCCCCGGCUAACUACGUGCCAGCCGCCGC